Molecule: long non-coding RNA, 1233 nt
Organism: Acipenser ruthenus (sterlet)
Lineage: Eukaryota; Metazoa; Chordata; Actinopteri; Acipenseriformes; Acipenseridae
Exons: 3
Source: RefSeq, a predicted model, not a curated record
CAGUUUAAAUGAACCUUAAGCAAUGUUUUGUGGCCGUUUAUUGUUGAUAGUUUUAGGUAUUCAUAUGUCUUUGCAGAUCAACUCUGAUGACAUUGACUCGGUGGCACCACUUCCCCCAACUGAAGAAAAGAUACAGGAGUAUCUGGAGGCCAGGGCUGCAAAGGAUGAAGAGGUGUUCCAGACGGUAAAGAUGCAAGUGGAGAAGGCGCAGGAGAGACAGAAGAAGCAGUAUCGGAGCUGGAUCAAGAGAGGAAUGAAGUGCUUCAGGAUCGAAGUGGGCAUGAAGGUUCUGAAGAAGAAUGAGUGGAAGACUUGACGCCUAGGCUCUAAGCUGGAACAGAACUGGCUGGUCCUUACAGGUACUCUGGAAAGAUUAAGUUGACAUUUCUCUCUAUUUUUUCAAACAUUCAAGAUGGAAGUUUAGCAGGGUGUGAAUAUAUACAGUUUCUUAAUUAAACUAGCUACAUAUGUAUGUGCUAAUGUGUACAAAUGUAAUUUUUUCAAUGAAGGGUAACUGAAGUCAUGAACAACCUUGUGAAGCUGGAGAGUCAAGCCAUUCAGAACGGGUCUGUAUGUUACCUUUAACCAUGCUACAACUUGGCAGUUAUUCCUAUGUUUAUUAGCCUUUGCAUAUACAUAUUGUUACAGGUUUGCAGAAUGAAGGGGUAUAGGCCGGUGCUCAAAAGAAGUGACAUGUUUUGUGUAUUUCUUUCUCACAGGGCAACAGAGCGAUCCAGUCCAAAACACAACAAUAAAACAAAUAACUCCUCCCCCCUUGUCCACACACCCAUGAGCCGAGUGCCUGGUGCCCCACACCAUCAAAAAGAAAACAAGCAAAAUAAUGUAGCCCCAUGCUGGCUGCAACAUUAUAGAAUUUCUCUAUUUUUUGCUUACAGCAAGAGACAACACCCACCUGAAGGUGUCCAGUCAGUCUGCGGAGACAACUAACCAGCCAGAGGACACGUGCCUGAUGGACAUGUCAUCCCAUCAGGAUGAGGCAGAGGUGGUGUCACAUGGACUGAAAGAAAACACCUGCCAGUGGUGGAAUGACCUUCCUACAGAUGUCAGGACUGCCCAGUCCCUGACCACAUUCCGGCGCCUCCUUAAGACUCGCCUCUUCAAACAGCACCUGUAGAACUCCUCUGUUUGUAUCCUGGGACACUAUCACCCUUCAUUUAAAUGUGCUUCAUUUUGCUCUUAUCUGCCCCCUAUUUUACUGCAUUUAAUCAUGUA